GAAUUGUAAAGCGCUUUGGGUGCCUAGAAAAACUCUAUAUAAAUGCAAUCCAUUAUUGUUAUUCGUUUUGGUGUCUGGGGCGGGGCGCUCAUGUAUUUACCGACUCACUCCUGGUGGCCGAUUGGCGGGGCCUGGCACCUGUGGCCCAGCUAGGCCCCUUACGGGGGGUCGGGUGCCCUCAGGCCUCUCGGCCUGAUACCCGGUCUUCUCUGGCACAGCUGGCUGCUGGCAGAGCCCGCGGGCACAUCACUGCAACCCCCUCUGGCCUCUGCUCCGUGGCUGCUGGGUGACCUCUCGUUUGGGGCUCUCCUCAGCUCUUCCCAGGAGGGUGGCACGUUGGCCCCCUGGUGGUCCUCCUCGGGUCCUCGUACUCUGGGGCCUCUGGAUGUCUGGGGCCUGGAUCUCCUCCAUACCUGCUUCAUGCCCUGGGGGACGGGGCUAUGGCUCCCCACACUCCCUAGCAGAUCGUUACAUGGAGAAACCUUUUGAAUACAAGCGUGCUGAUCCACACAGGUGUGUACACAGGUGUGCACACAGGUGUUCACAGACACAAACUACACCUUUCUUGGCUGCUGCCUGAAAGCACAUUGUGCGCUGUCGAUCUUGCGUGCUGUAACAUAACAUCUAAUAUUUGGUAUCUACUGUUAUCUACUGUUAGCUGUUUUAUUGUGAUGGUGCUAUAUUUAUUAUGUUGCUCUUUCUUGUUUGUUUUCUCUUCUGUUUUUUCUUAUCUCCAUACAGGUGAUCCAGGUGUUUUGUUUGUUUUUCUUUUUUUCUUCCCCCCUUUCUCACCGUCUCUUCUCCCCUCUAUUUUUUUUCUCCCCCUCUCUUUCUUUCAUUCUUUCUCCCUGUCCUAUCCCCCAGUCAUGUCUGUCCCAUCUGUAACAACCAAAAAUCAAAUCAAAUAAAUAUAUAAUUAUAAUAAAGGUCAAUCAAAUGGCCCAAACGCAAGACCGUGAUGAUCCAAUUGGUAAAGUAAAGCCGCUUGGCAUCUUUCUUGGCCUUCAGACAACAAUUCUGAUGGCUAAAGAUCCAAACGGGACAGGCAAAAAAAAAAAAAAAAAGAUGAGUCAGUGAAGCAAACUGAUCAGCUGUCUUAUUGUGUCUUUUGUGUGUUUGGUUUUGUGUAUUCAAUGAACCGAACGCCGUCUUUACUGCACGAGGGUGUGACCAUCCACAUCCUUUCAUCUGUCCAC
Long non-coding RNA from Astatotilapia calliptera (eastern happy), 1196 nucleotides. The record is from Ensembl. NCBI's taxonomy places the organism in Eukaryota, Metazoa, Chordata, Actinopteri, Cichliformes, Cichlidae.